RNAcentral lists this ribosomal RNA (253 nucleotides) under uncultured bacterium. Its description in RNAcentral is "partial 16S ribosomal RNA". It matches the Rfam family "Bacterial small subunit ribosomal RNA", at positions 524 to 776 of the family's 1533-position model. The record is from RNAcentral.
UACAGAGGUCUCAAGCGUUGUUCGGAUUCAUUGGGCGUAAAGGGCGCGUAGGCGGCGGGGUAAGUCUGGUGUGAAAUCUCGGAGCUCAACUCCAAAAUUGCACUGGAUACUGCUCUGCUUGAGGGUUGGAGAGGAGAUCGGAAUUCACGGUGUAGCAGUGAAAUGCGUAGAUAUCGUGAGGAAGACCAGUGGCGAAGGCGGAUCUCUGGACAAAUCCUGACGCUGAGGCGCGAAGGCUAGGGGAGCAAACGGG